CCCUUAGAUGUUCUGGGCCGCACGCGCGCUACACUGAUGCAUUCAACGAGUCUAAAACCUGGUCUGAUAGGGCUGGGUAAUCUUUUGAAAGUGCAUCGUGAUUGGGAUAGAUGAUUGCAAUUCUUCAUCUUCAACGAGGAAUGCCUAGUAAACGCAAGUCAUCAGCUUGCAUUGAUUACGUCCCUGCCCUUUGUACACACCGCCCGUCGCUCCUACCGAUUGAAUGAUCCGAUGAAUACCAUGGAUUGAGAGUUCGAAUAGGUUCGCCUAUUUCUGCUUCUCGGGAAGUGGAGUAAAUCUUAACAUUUAGAGGAAGGAGAAGUCGUAACA
Molecule: ribosomal RNA, 330 nt
Filed under: uncultured eukaryote
Lineage: Eukaryota
Description: partial 18S ribosomal RNA
Rfam family: Eukaryotic small subunit ribosomal RNA
Source: RNAcentral